CCCAGAUUCCUAAGGGAGGGCAGCAGUGGGGAAUUUGGAACAUGGGGCGCAGGCCUGAUCCAGCCAUGCCGCGUGUUUGAGAAGGCCCUUCGGGUUGUAAAGGACUUUUGUCAGGGAGAAAAAGGGCGGGGUUAAUACCCCUGUCUGAUGACGGUACCUUGAAAAAUAAGCACCGGCUAACUACGUGCCAGCAGCCGCGGUAAUACGUAGGGUGCGAGCGUUAAUCGGAAUUACUGGGCGUAAAGCGGGCGCAGACGGUUACUUAAGCAGGAUGUGAAAUCCCCGGGCUCAACCUGGGAACUGCGUUCUGAACUGGGUGACUAGAGUGUGUCAGAGGGAGGUAGAAUUCCACGUGUAGCAGUGAAAUGCGUAGAGAUGUGGAGGAAUACCGAUGGCGAAGGCAGCCUCCUGGGAUAACACUGACGUUCAUGCCCGAAAGCGUGGGUAGCAAACAGGAUUAGAUACCCUGGUAGUCCACGCCCUAAACGAUGUCGAUUAGCUGUUGGGCAGCAUGACUGCUUAGUAGCGAAGCUAACGCGUGAAAUCGACCGCCUGGGGAGUACGGUCGCAAGAUUAAAACUCAAAGGAAUUGACGGGGACCCGCACAAGCGGUGGAUGAUGUGGAUUAAUUCGAUGCAACGCGAAGAACCUUACCUGGUCUUGACAUGUACGGAACCCUCCAGAGACGGAGGGGUGCCUUCGGGAGCCGUAACACAGGUGCUGCAUGGCUGUCGUCAGCUCGUGUCGUGAGAUGUUGGGUUAAGUCCCGCAACGAGCGCAACCCUUGUCAUUAGUUGCCAUCAUUAAGUUGGGCACUCUAAUGAGACUGCCGGUGACAAGCCGGAGGAAGGUGGGGAUGACGUCAAGUCCUCAUGGCCCUUAUGACCAGGGCUUCACACGUCAUACAAUGGUCGGUACAGAGGGUAGCCAAGCCGCGAGGUGGAGCCAAUCUCACAAAACCGAUCGUAGUCCGGAUUGCACUCUGCAACUCGAGUGCAUGAAGUCGGAAUCGCUAGUAAUCGCAGGUCAGCAUACUGCGGUGAAUACGUUCCCGGGUCUUGUACACACCGCCCGUC
This 1076-nucleotide ribosomal RNA is filed under the name uncultured bacterium. RNAcentral describes it as "bacterial SSU rRNA". It matches the Rfam family "Bacterial small subunit ribosomal RNA", at positions 330 to 1398 of the family's 1533-position model. The record is from RNAcentral.